AGCCAGAGGGAACUGGCCCUGUAACUGCUCAGACUGUUUCUGUCUUGGGGAAACUCCCUACUGAUUCCCAACUGCUGCUGUUGGUUUCACUUUUUGGCUUGAGUGAAAAGGAAGGAGCAUUUGGGGCAAGCUGAUGAGCUUCUGGAGCAGACACACAGAGAGAGAGAGACAGAGACACAGAGGGAGAAGCAGGCUCCAUGCAGGGAGCCCGAUGUGGGACUCGACCCCGGGUCUCCAGGAUCACACCCCAGACUGCAGGCGGGGCCAAACCGCUGUGCCACUGGGGCUGCCCUCAGACAUCGGUUUAAUGGAAUAAUGGAGCAAUCUAUCAACUCAGGUUCUGGAUUGUGAAACUUCUGGGGAAGUUUCAAGGUGAAAUUGAAAGGAAGCACAAUUUGCCACCCCAAAAUAUGCUUCUUUGGCACAUCUUCAGCUGAAGGUAUUUGGGGAUUAUUUAAGAGCAAAAGAUGAAUGGUGAGCCACUAAAUCCUAUUAAAUCAAUGCAUGGACACAGCAGCAACGGAGGUAAAUAAGCUGUGGAUGUCUGAAUACCAAUAAAGAAGAUAAAAAUGGUUUUAUAUAGCUACUUACAUCAUAGCCUAGAAGUUCAGUCUGUGUGGAUUUAUCUACUCUUGAAGCAAAAGCCUUCUGUAAAUGCUGGACUUUUUCCUACAAAAUUAAAAAAAAAAGAAACGACAUUGAAAGAGAUGGUGGUCAUCACAAACGUAUCCACAAAUGUACUCUGAGUUGAAAAUGAAGUGCUCCCAGGAAAAUAAUAGAGUGAGGAAGCUGUACAGGAAGUCCAUCCAGAAGUCCAACUUCAAGAUCUCAGUCAGUGACUGGCUUCAUCCUAAAGGAAAACCCUUGGGAAGGAAGUCUCAUCUCAAAAUUGUUCCUAUCCAAAGGCAAGAGAGUUAAUGAUAUGGAGCUGGGAUAUCCUGCCACGCAGAUCAGUCAAUAAUUAAGGCAGGUUAGUUUUACAAGCAAAGUGGCCUUAGGUUCCCAAAGCUAAGGAUGGCUCACUGACACGAUGACCAGGUGGUGACUGUAGAGGGUAAACCUUCAUCUGGGUCUCCUGUGCAUGCGUGCAUGCAUGCACUUACAUGCAUUCAAAUGAUAAAGGAAUCUAAGGGGAUAUUGGCAGAGUAGUGGCAGCACUUCUUAUAGUUUAUCUUGAAACGACUUUAGAAACUCAUUGUUGAAGCAAGGUUGGGUGUCUGAAGCUCAGAGAGGUAAAAUACAUUUCCCAGAAUCACAAACCCAGUAAGUGGCAAACAAAAGAACAGAAUCCAGAUCUUCACUCCUUUAUGUCAGGUCAUUUUCAAUGACCAUGCUCUAUACUAAUAAUUUAAUCUAAUUUUUUAGAAGUUCUACUUUUGUGGAUUACUUAGCAGUAUUUCUCUAGAGAGUACUUAAAGUCAAUUUUGACUUUUUUUAUUCUAAAGAGAUCAGAAAUUUGAUACUGAGCCAAAACGAAAAUAUUCUAAUCUUUCUUCAUGUUGCAAUAUAUACUCUUGACCAUUAUUAAUGAAUUUGUUUACAUAUCCUUUUGAGCUAAUGUAUUUUCAUAUUCUAUUUAUGCUAUCUCAACUUUGAGUUACUCAUUGUAAAUAAGGAAGAGCUAAUUUUGAGGAUUUUUAAAGAAAAUUUAAAUUAUAUUUGCACAAAUAUAUAUACUUGUAUAGCCCAUUGAAAUUUAUGACACUAUGUAAUAUAAAUGAUAUUUAUAAUAUUAAAUAUUUCUAAUAUUUUAUGUGUAAAAUUGCUAUUCAAAUGAAAAUAAAAAUAAUUUCAAAUGGUGACCCUGAAAAGGGGGACUAUAGAAUUUCUCAAUAUGGAGUUAUAAAUAUUUACUACUGCUAUAGUAAUAUCAAAAGACUGCUUGAAUAAAAAAUUUAGAACA
Molecule: long non-coding RNA, 1903 nt
Organism: Canis lupus familiaris (dog)
Lineage: Eukaryota; Metazoa; Chordata; Mammalia; Carnivora; Canidae
Exons: 5
Source: RefSeq, a predicted model, not a curated record